GUUCCACGCUACAUUAUAUUUAAGUGCUCACAUAUUCAUAGUCUAAUUAUUGUGCCACUGGUUAUAACAAGUUGGCAUGAUAGGCCAUGAUAGGACGUAAUUUUUAAGAUAUCCAGAGACCAAGCGUCCCACAUGUGAGCCAGACAUCCCCAUAGACCAAUACAAAAGUAUCAAGCCUCUAAAAUAGACCAGUGAUUUUUCAUGGCAAUAAUAGUGGCAUGCAAACAGCGGCGCAAAUAUGGGACGUCAGUCUAUUUGAGGUGCCCCGAGCGGCGCAUAUUUGGGACGCCGGUGCACGGGAAGAAACCGUGCGGCUCAUAUUUGAGCCGGCUGGUCUGUAGGUAUACGACUUUUCUUAACAUGGUGGUAGCGAACGUGUUAAUAUAUGUUCUAAAAGUAAGCUAUUUUUGCAGAGUAAACAUGGCAAAUUAUUCCUUCCUCUCUGUUCUCAGCCAUCUGCUUCGGGCGGCCCCUUUUUCAAGUCAAGUCAAACAUGGCAAAUUAUGACUUUCUUGGAGGAGAAACAAGUAGUUAAGUUAUUAAGUACUUUGUUAUUAUAGUUGUGAUGAAAAUAAUUUUAUUAUCGUUUUCCUAACUUUCUUGUUGAUUUUUAUUUGUUAAAAUAUAAUAUCAAUGUUUAUUUUUGCAAUAUUGAUAUCAACGUUUAUACGUCGAUAUUUAUAAUUCAUUGGUUUUCCAGCGUUAUGCUUAUGGAAGUGCAAUUCUAAUCUUUGUGCUAAGGGUUAAGAGUUUGUGAAUUAAGGUUACAAAAAAGUAGAAGAGUAAACUUAAUAGUGAAAAAAAACUCACCUGUGUAACUCGUUCCCGAAGAGCCUCCCGAAGAAUCGUAGAGUGUGCAGAGUGUGGAAUCUGCGGCAGUUGACGUUUCUUGGGCGAUGUGAUGGGGGUAGCGGUAGCGGACCUGGAGGAAAAGCGAGGCACAUACGCAUGGGAUGGAAGCACAACACUCGGCUGGUAGAUUCUAAAAUGUGAAAAGCUUCCGAGGCUGCUGACAGAUGCUCCGUCUGCUACCCUCCUUUCCCGCGCAUCGUCCAGGUCUGAUGGAUCAGAGUCCGAAAGGCGUGAUGUGGUGCUAGGCGGUGAUAGGUGGUCUGUGGGCGUUAACGCAAUAUCUACAUCCUCCACCGCCUACAAACAACGUGAACAUGUCUUUCCUCUUCACUUCUGCAUAACUUAUUUAUGUAUUAAUAACAUACAAAAAUAUGGAUUAAAAUCAAAAAGUCAUUUAGGGGAGGAAUUGGGAAUAUCUUCUUAUAAUCAAACUCAACAACAAAUUCAAAUUCAAAACAAGAUUUAUAUGAUAUCUAGAAAUACUUAAAAGAGUUUUUACACAAUUUCAAGUAGCUAGUUGUCAUGUAGUAACCAAUACUGUAUACUAGUUUCUAAAUACAUCUUUUUCCUAUUUUAAUUUCUGUUGAAUAAUUAAAUAUUUCGAUUUUCAAAUUUAA
This is a long non-coding RNA of Homalodisca vitripennis (glassy-winged sharpshooter), 1469 nucleotides long. RefSeq lists it as uncharacterized. The record is from RefSeq and is a predicted model, not a curated record. The transcript has 3 exons. NCBI's taxonomy places the organism in Eukaryota, Metazoa, Arthropoda, Insecta, Hemiptera, Cicadellidae.